CCUACGGGAGGCAGCAGUGGGGAAUUUUUCGCAAUGGGCGAAAACCUGACGCAGCAACGCCGCGUGAGUGAUGAAGGCCUUCGGGUGGUAAAGCUCUGUCAGGGGGGAAGAACCGCCAGGUGGUUAAUACCCGCUUGGUCUGACGGUACCCUCAAAGGAAGCACCGGCU
This 169-nucleotide ribosomal RNA is filed under the name uncultured bacterium. RNAcentral's name for it is "partial 16S ribosomal RNA". It matches the Rfam family "Bacterial small subunit ribosomal RNA", at positions 338 to 498 of the family's 1533-position model. The record is from RNAcentral.